Molecule: non-coding RNA, 72 nt
Organism: Zopfochytrium polystomum
Lineage: Eukaryota; Fungi; Chytridiomycota; Chytridiomycetes; Chytridiales; Chytridiaceae
Source: the annotation of a GenBank genome assembly
UCUACAAUUGUAUAGUGGCUAGAGCGCCUCAUUGAGGCUGAGCAAACCGUGGUUCAAUUCCACCAUGUAGCA